This is a non-coding RNA of Vigna angularis (adzuki bean), 106 nucleotides long. Lineage: Eukaryota; Viridiplantae; Streptophyta; Magnoliopsida; Fabales; Fabaceae. The record is from Rfam.
AUCUGAUGGUUUGGGAGCUUGCACAUAACUUCUUAAAUCUUUCCCAAUACUCAUACAAGCUUUCACCACCGAGUUGUGUAAUCCUAGAAAUGUCUUUCCUUAUGAC